UACGUAGGGGGCAAGCGUUGUCCGGAUUUAUUGGGCGUAAAGAGCGUGUAGGCGGCUUUACAGGUCCGUUGUGAAAACUCGAGGCUCAACCUCGAGACGCCGGUGGAAACCGUAAAGCUAGAGUCCGGAAGAGGAGAGUGGAAUUCCUGGUGUAGCGGUGAAAUGCGCAGAUAUCAGGAAGAACACCCGUGGCGAAGGCGGCUCUCUGGGACGGUACUGACGCUGAGGAGCGAAAGCGUGGGGAGCGAACAGG
RNAcentral lists this ribosomal RNA (253 nucleotides) under uncultured bacterium. Its description in RNAcentral is "partial 16S ribosomal RNA". It matches the Rfam family "Bacterial small subunit ribosomal RNA", at positions 524 to 776 of the family's 1533-position model. The record is from RNAcentral.